Long non-coding RNA from Gallus gallus (chicken), 8667 nucleotides. RefSeq lists it as uncharacterized. The transcript is spliced from 3 exons. The record is from RefSeq and is a predicted model, not a curated record. NCBI's taxonomy places the organism in Eukaryota, Metazoa, Chordata, Aves, Galliformes, Phasianidae.
UCUGCACUUCCUUCUCCUGCCUGGCCUGGCUUAGAAAUAUGUAGACAAUUACCUGAGGCUAAUAUUAAAUUUUUAAUUUUUUUUUCUCAAAGCUGAUCACAACGCUGGCCAACUUUAAGAGGAAAGCUGGUGAUCUAGUCUGCAGCACACCUCCACAGACAGCCAUGCUAGCACAACAGAAGGAAGAUGGAGGGUACCUUGAGCUGGUAUUGCUGCAGAACAUUUUGUACCAAACCAUGACAGAAAGCUAAAAUGACAAACAGUAACUACUAUCUCAGGAUUGUGUAUCACUCAGCUGUCUACACUGAUGAGUUCUUCAGAUCCCAACAUGGAAUUGCAAGAUUCUGAGUCUUACAGAGGUUUAUGGUGGCAUUCCUUUCAAGAAGAAGGAAGUAUCUGCUGGGCAGCAGGGUACUUAAGGUCCUGUUUGGAACCUUGCAAUACUUCCCCUUCUAUGUGGGCUCAGAAUACCCUUCUGGAUGCAGCACUUAACAUUCACAGAAAGGAGAACAGAAGAAAAAGACAAGAAACUAACAAAAGUUAUCUGAGCAACCUACAUAGUACUGUUGACAGGUAAAUUGCUGGCCACCAAAAAUCAGCUGCUGCUUUUUGUUGUUGUUCCUCAGUCUCACUUCUCUAGAUUCCCUCUACUCCCAGAGAAAAGUUUGGCAUGGCUCAGGCUGCCUUCAACAGAAUCAUUCUCUGCUUCUCAGCUCUUGAAAUCAAAAUAGUCUGGCAUGUUAAAUGUGACAAUCCACAGUUUUUGUUUCUGUGAAGUAGGAGGUGUAUUUUCAACAUCAAGCAAGCAUAUUUCAUCGCUAGUGCUCUGAAACUUUAGUAGUUGCUUAAUUUAGUGUAUGGUUGCUACAAGAGUGAUUAGAGACUCUGCUUUCUGAGGAAUCCCAUGACCAGGACAAAAGGAUGCCUGGCAAAGGCUGGGCAGGGGUAGAGCCUGGGGGAAAAUUCUCUGGAAAAAGAGAGAGAAUCAUAAACUGUGGCAGGAAGAGCUAGGUAGAUUCCCCAGAUAAUGAUGUAGAUGUGCUACAGAUACCAGUGCUAUGAGGUCGCAGCUAAUCCAUAUACCUCAGGGUUUGGAUUGAGACUCCUGCCAGCUUCUCCCACAUUUGUGUAUUAGAAGCUGAAGAAAAUCUAGUUGCUGCAGUCACUGUAUAGAGUACUAUAGAGUAUGCAUCCAUUCACGGUGGUACUUAUGCAGUCUGGAAACCUUUGUCGGUGUGUAGCAAACAGGUAUUGGAUACAGAGAGACUAUUGCAUUACAAAAGAGAAAUGAAAUAAAGAUCUUACCUAUGUCCUGGGCUCAUAGAAGGGCUCCAAGAGGAAGGAUCUCCAGAUAGAGAUCUUCCCUCCUUGGGAGUCAGCCCUUAAAUGGGGUCUAGGAGAGGUGGAGUGAGGCUCCACCCCUUCCAGUUACUCAGGUGAAAUUGCGUUCACCUGUGCCCCUGCAGCUGACUCUGCGCUCACCUCAGGUGGUCAAUCAGAGGUUCUGGCUGUAAUUCAACAGUUCCCACACAGUCUGAAAGCCUAUAUUUUUCAUGUGCAUGGCUGCUGCUGUUGUAUUGUGGGGAGAAGAGCUUCUGUACUCACGCUGGAGGCAGAACCAUGGCUCUGCCAGGUCAGUGGAUUCUCCUUAAGUCAACAAACAGUUGAACAAUUUUUAGCAGAUACGAUGUCCAGAACACAAUAUGCCUCUUUUCAUCACUACAAAUAAAAAAUCAACAAACAAACAAAAAUGAAAAAUGCAAAAACCCACAAAACAACCUUGAAUGGAGUAUCUGAUGGAUUCACAGAGGAACAGUUGACAUCUGGAGUUCAGAAGAAGUCUGAGGAGUUAAUUAUGAACAAACACUUGCACAUAUGGCAUUAAUCAUUGAAAUUAGAACACAGAGGGUUCUCCUUAAGUCAACAGUGGCAAAUGCUGUAAUAUGGACACUUAUUUCAGGUAGUGUGAAUCCUUUGUUACAGAUGGUUUAUAGUCUUUCACAACUAUGCCUAUAUUUGGCACCCUGUAAAUAAGCUAUAAAAGUGUGUUCUUACCUCUAGAGGUCCAUAAAAUUGGACAUACAGAAAUUGCAAGAAUGAGACUAGGAACCAUCAAUGUGUCAAAGCAGAAAGGCAGCAUGACUUUUGAGUAACCUGAAGUAGAAAAUGCAGCUUGUACUCCUGUGACUCUGCUUUUUAAGGUUCAUGAUUUUAUGUGAUUAGGAAAGAAAUGAAAAUGUGACCUGAAUAAAGUGCAGAUAAGUCUGAGUCUCAAUUUAAAUUUAAAAUCUCUUGCUGACAUAGAUAACUUGAUUUGGAUUUAAAAAAAACACCACAACAAUCAUGGCUGUUUCAAUAAAUGUUAAUACAUUGCAAUUAUACCCAAGGCAAGAAAAGUUACUUUAUUGGCAUACUUCAUUCUGCUGAGCAUGGAUAAAUGUCAAGGCCAGUAUCACAGCGUAUAGAUGUGCUGUUAUAUCCAGGCUAACCUGACAAAACUUGCACUGAAACAGAGAAGUGCUUACACAGGCACCAACAGCAUCUGAAUGGUACUGCAGUUUACUGUCAGUAUGCAGCACUAUAGACAGAAAGGGAUAAUAAAGACUCAUCUGUAUGGAUUUGGACUGUAUGCUGACUGACCUGAGGGCUAAAGAAUUCUCCUUGACCUAUUUUAUUUGGUAGCAUAGAUACUCCUUUACAAGCUGUUUCAUGUUUUCAAACAGAAAACUUUGAAAGAUAAAAAAGAAGAAAAAAAAAAGUGAGAGGUUUUCUGUCCAGGCACUAGUGAGUUAGCUGGUGUGCCAUGCACUCAGGUGAGCAUGAUGUUCAAGUGAGACAUGGGUGCUACUAGCUAAAGAAGGGUUCUUCUCCAGAGACAGCACUCUGUUAUACCACAGCCUUAAACUGCACUGUUAAGCACAGAAAAAGAUGUUUGGAAGUAGUUUCAGAAUGAUGGAUUCCACACUGGGAAUAAGACAUCCUGUGCAUUUUUUUUCUGCUCAGGCAGAUAGCAAGUUGUAAUAACAUGUGAUACUAAAAAAUUAAGAAUGCAUCUAAUUUUGAAGAGACGUGCCUCUGAUCUAUGAAAAAAAACAAAAACAAAAAACAACUUUUUUUAUUAACCUGAAGACAUUGCUCAAAUGACCCAUCAGAACAGGAAUGGAGUGGACAUAGAACAAUCUGGUCUGAAUCCAGAAGGGCUGGGAUUUGGCUGUGGUGUUCCUCUGUACAUCUGAGGGAAAUAGACUAAAGCAGCAGGGAAGGAGACAUUCUAUGGAAUUUAUUAUAGGAAACAUUUGGCUUGUGACAGCAGGGGCUAUGGAUGACAACAGGCCCUCCUUUCCAUACAAGCAACAACAGCAUAUGAUUGUUUGCGUAUGUCUGUGCGUGUCUGCAAAUGAUGUCCACUGGGAACCUGAAACUGUGAGCAUGGAAACUAUCUCCUGUCUCCUGCUGCACUUAGAAAAAUAGAGUUGUACAUAUAUUGCUUGAAAGGCACAGGGCUCGAGUGAACAAGCCAUCAUCUGGUUCUCCCAGUGGAAGCAACCUGCAGCAUCCCAACUGCUGGCUAGGACUAGCACAAGAACCAAUACCAUUGCCAUUCAGCUCCCAGUCUCCUGGAGCAAUAAAGAAAACACAAGAGCAAUCCUCUCUGGCAAACACAAAUCAAUCAUUAAUAAAAUGCUAAACUGUAAAAAGUAGAAACAUCCAAACUCCUCAGACUUUUACUAGUAUUAGGAAAUAGGGAACACACUUUCACAGUUUUUUUCUCUAUUUUUUGUAACAGCUUUAUUUCUAUUUCUAUUGUAUUUUCUUACUCUCAAUAUUUUCAAUUUAUUACUUCAAUUAAAAAAAAAAAAAACCAACAACACCAUACUCAUUUAUGUCUUAGAAAGACAGAACACAUCUGAAAAAAAGAUUGGAUUUUAGCAGGAAGUGCCACUACUGUUUUUGAAAACUGCAGUGUUACUUUCUACUCUACUUUCUAACCAAUACCAGGGAGGUGCCAGAACUUGAUGUGCUUGAACGGGUUGCUCAGUGAAGCCGUGGAUGCCCCAUCCCUGGAGGUGUUCAAGACCAGUUUACAUGGAGCCCUGGGCAACCUAAAUCAAGUGCUUGAUUUAGUGGCUGGCAGCCUCGGCUGCAACAGGAGGUUGGAACUGCAUGAACUUUGAGGUCCCUUACAAUCCAAGCCAUUCUAUGAUUUUAAGAUACAAUGGAAGAUCCUAAAACACAUUUAAAGCAAUAGACCAACGAUCUGAUAUCUGCAGCAAUCUAACCUACGUAAGCUUUGUAUUAUGAUAAUAUUCAUGCAGAAUAUGCAGUAAUCUGCUUGUGAACAUCACUAGUAUUCCUCAUUUAAGCUCCAGUAGAGAUAGAUGAGAUUAAUCUACAUCUCAUGCCCAGAGAGGAAGUAGAACACAUCCACAGAGGGUAAGAAAAAGAAUAAAAUACUGUACCAUUAGUGCAAUUAACCAUUUCAUGAUCACCCAAUUUUUCCAAACAGAUUAAGUUAUUAAAGAAGAAUAGAUAAGUUUUCAUGCUUCCUCUGAUGUCAGAAUAAAAGGUAAAAGAGUGCAGGAGCAGUUUGAAGAAACCUAGAAGUCUAAGUUCUUGUGGGCGUGUGAGGUGGAAUUUCCACCUGGUGCAAGGAGGAAACUGCCACUAAAUGCCCUGCAGGGAUCUUUCCCAGAGCUUUGGGAGGAAUUUUAUUCCAGGAUGAAGCUGGCCCAUGUCACAAACUGUUGAAGAAAAGCUUAAAUUCAAUAGAAUUCUUGAGCUACUGCUCAAGAACGUGGGUUUUGCAUUAUCUCAUGCAUGUAGGAAAGUGUGAUAAAUUUGUUUUGAUCCUGACAAUGUUUUAGAUAAAGAAAUCUGCCCUCAAGAAGUCUCUGUAAAUCCAUAACUGUGCAACAAGUUAUAAUGCUGGAGCCUUGAAGGUUAUUCGUGCCCUCAUUAUACAAACUAAAAAUGAACAUAGAGAGACUACCUCUUUAAAUAACUUGGGAUCUCUUUAGAUGGUCUAUAUUAGAAGCCCCCAGAGCAAGCUGACACUUUUAGACACUGUAUCUCUUAUAUAUAAUCUGUAAAUGGAAUUGUGCAGAAUUCUCCUGAGCCCCACACACUUCCUUCAGAUUUUUGAUGCUGUGGGAAGAAGAAACACACUAAGGUCUCUCGAACUUCAGCAAAGGAAUCCAAUUAAAUUCUAAUACUGGUGGCCAUGUUAUCGCUGAACUGUAUUCUUGUUUCUCUAAUAUAUUCUCUACCAACACAAUUCAUAUACGUCAACUGUCAGGGAAAUAGUAAUACAUACAAAUGAAAAGGAGAAAGCUCAGAAGUGGUAAGGGAGAUCUACUUGAAAACCUGUAAGGCUAAUUUUUUGUGUUACUGCGCAUAAGGUAUAAUGUAUAGGAAUAUUACAAAAGUAAUUAAAACAGUACAGCUUAUUUGUCUCAACUAUCUCUUCCUUUGUGGACUGAUCAGUCAAACCUCAGAAAUUUUUUACUGACAUUAAUGGGCACUGCUGCAUCAGCCGUAGAACAAAUCCCUUGUAGUGAGUAUUACUGCUGUUACAGCUGGAAAAUUUCUGCAAUAUGUUGCAAUAACAGAUACUGUUUGAUUCUUAAGAAAAAAAUUAAAAAAUCAUCCUUGAUGGUAAAUGAAUCAAGUGGAGAAUAGUCAGGGAAAAGUCAAUUUUUCCCUGACCAUCAAUAUGAGUACAUGUAGUCUCGAUGUCUCUGAUAAUGACUUGCACACGAUGUUUCAGAGGAAGAUGCAGAACAAACAAACAAACCAGCCCAUACAGCAGAUAACAGUAGAUAGUAAUGGAAAUCUAUCCUCAACAAGGAUUUUCUUCCUCAGCCUCAUUGGAUCACACCCUAAGCCUGAAUUUUUGAUCUGUUUCAAAUAUGUUUUUGUCUACAACCUUGGACUCCUUCCCGUUCUUUUCAUUCUUACUUAUCCUGUCUUCUAUUGCUGUUACUAAAGUCAGUGGGGGUUUAUGUAUUAGUGUCUAUGAGUUCAAGGUAACCUCUAAGCAGCUUAUUACAUAACAUAUGGUAGCAAAUGAGUGUAAUGACAAAUUUAAGAGAAUUGUUUAUGUUUGAAUCAGCAAAACUUAACUUAAUCCUAAUGGUGGCUGCAUAUCUUAGAAAAGUUAUACGAUGGUUUGACACUUGUUUCUUGAACAAAAUGCUACCUUAAUAUGACAUAUUGCCCAAAUCAUGCACUGCAUCUCACUUUCUGGUAAUAUAACAUUACACAUUCUGCUUUACUUCAAGGUUUUAACUUAAAGGUUUUAGGUUGUGUCCCUAUGGCCAUAUUCUCUUUGCUCUGCAGUACCUUUUUAUCUUUCCUUAAUAAAAACUACUUCUACCAUUGAUGUGGAUACACUUGCUUCUUGGAAAGAAAAGGGCUUAGAAGUAUAGUAAUGGCUGGUGGAAGAAGAGACAGAAAAUACUUAAGUUAGUGAUUUUAAAGAAUGAAUUACUGUUUAGCAAAAAUUAGGAUGGAGGGCAUUGCACUGUUUUUUUGUUGAAUUUUAUUUUUUUUAAUGUGUUUCUAAUUUAAGAUAGCUGCAUAUCCUUGGUUUUUACCAGUUAAUUUCACAGUAGGUCUUUAUAAAACGACCUUAAUCAGAAAAGGUGGAUAUAGCAUAUGGAACUGAACCCUGUGAAGAAAAAUGAAGACAAUGCUAGUGUAAGUGUAUCAACAGAUAACAUGACAAAACACACAUCUCACUGCUACAAUAAAUUCCAGUACAAGCAUGCUUCAUUCUCAAAUAUGCUGUCUCCUAUUCUACAUUUCCAAGUCAAAGUAACCUGUUAAUUGAGAGCAUAAUGAUUAGAUAGGAAAAUUACAAAAGAUGACAUCAGGUAUACAAAGCCAGUCAGUCAGGAGAACAUAAAUGUAACAUCUUUGAAAUCAAAGUUAUUUGACAAGAAGCUAGUAACCUGUCUGGGCUGGUGUGUGAGCCUGUAAAAGUGGGCUUACUAUGUUCUUCACAAGCUUCAUCCAAGCAAGGACAGAAAAAACUCCUUUAAAGAAAGCACUGCAGCCAUCUAGCCUUGAAAAGAUGCAAGUGUUUAGCAAUUCUCUGAUCAUAGCGUGGAAUCAAGGAAGAAUCUUCUAUAGAUUCCUAGGUAUUUCAGGACCCAGUAACAGAUGGAUCAGUUGAAGCCAAAAACACAAGCAAACUGAAUUCAUUAACACAUCAACUAGAAAUUAGUUAAAGGCAACAGUGAUCUAAAUGUCCAUCUUUCUUGAGUUCAUCUUUACAAAGUUGCAGGACAUUUCUCCUUGGCUCAUAACAAAGUCUUGCUAAUGCUGUGUACUCUGGUUCUUCCUAAUGCUGAUGAGAUAAGGAACAAAUCGAUCAAUGCUCUCAUUGUGUUUACUGGGAAACCAACAAUCAGGAGAGAGGACUGAAUUCCCUGAAUCCUAAUUAUACAUGAAUUUGCUAGAGUAUCCCUCUAUAUUGCUCUAAGAUAUGAACAAUCAGUAACAAAAAUAUGAAGAAAAAACCCACACAACAGUGUAAAUUAUAGAAAAAACGGACAGAGUCAAAUAUGACAGUAUACCAUUAAGGAAUUCUAGUUGUGCCCUGCUUUGGCCUCUGGACAUUCUCAGUUCAUAAAUUAAGUGUCAGAUCUCACCUGCACUCCUCUCAAAAAUUCUCAAGUUUGGCAUUACUAGAAAAAAGAAUCUUAUUUCACUAAGAUUACCUGCCAAUCUGGGCUAUUACCAUGUGUACUAGAGAAAGGACAGAAACCUAUACUAUCUCACAGUAAAGUUAGUGCCAGAUAUUCCUGUUGUCCCCUACCUAGAGGGAAUUUGAAAUAGAUCCAUCAGCCUUUUGAUGCUAGUGAACUACUGAAACUAAUUUUGGAUCAAUUUCCCAUCCAGCUGCAAAACUGACUGAAAAGGAAAACAAGAAAACAUAACACAAAAGGAAAAUUAGGAUGAAAAUCUGAGACAAAAGGUUUAAAGAAUGGUUUAAAGUAUGCUUUAUUUUUCAGACGCACAGUAGUUUUAGGAAUUUCUUGCUUUGACGCAUAAAAAUGUCAAAAAGAGAUCCAGUACAGCAGCCCAUGGCCCAUACAUAUUGUGCAAAUUCCUCUAUUUUUCUCUGAUAUGUUUGAUGCUGUCCAUUGUUGACAACAGGCUUCUGUUACAAAGGAACUCAGUUUGGUAGCCUGUGUUGUUCCCCAUGGGCUGUUUUGCUAAAAAGAGAUACUUGGGGGCUGACUUACUUCUUUUGUUAUUUUUACAUCCCCUGGGAAAAUGCAGGCUCUCAGUUCAGGAAAACAUGUAACGUCAUAGAAGCUGAAUACAGGAAGUUCUUAUGCUUUCAGGAACUACAUGUUUGUUAUUUUAAUAAUCACACUUUUGCAGAUACAUUACAUAGAAAGAAAUUUCAGGCUCUUGAAUUCUGAUACUUGCUUUCAGUAUGGUAACACUGGCAAAAAUAACAAAUGAUUAAAAAAUAGUGUUGUUUAAUCCCAAUUUUUCUGCCUGCUGUAUUAUAAAUUAAAGAGUCUCCAGAAUAAACGUCUUGUACUUCUGAUCCUUCCUUAUAUAUAAAAAAGAACAGCCUUGUGCCAUCCUCAGUGAUAGCAAGUGACAGGCAGAGAAUGACAUCACUCUUUAUUUUUAACCGCCUGCCUU